UUAGCAACUUUCUCUCAAGGGCGGUUAGCACCCUUCCUUAUCCACCAACUUAGAAAAUUAGCCAAUUGACAGCGAGGUCUAUUUCCCUCACUCUCCUAAUGAAAACUUGUCCUUAACAAAUCAGCUCUUUUCGUGUCCUUAGACCUACCCAUCACUAGCUUUCCCCCGCCACAACAUCGUCACUAAACUUUACUGAUUUUCCAACUUUCGAAUAGUCGACGUCUUUUUACCGGGUUUCUACCCUUAGAUCAGUCGCCUACUUAAUUUAUAUAAAGUUGUUAGAGUAAAGUGUAAUUUAUAUGUGUCAAUUCAGUGUAUACUCAAUUGUGACUAUUAAGUGCAUAAUAAAUUGUGUUACGGCUCAACCUUCUUGUUUUUAUAAUCUGAGUCACAAGUUUACGUGACAGUGUCGUC
RNAcentral lists this unclassified non-coding RNA (414 nucleotides) under Bombus terrestris (buff-tailed bumblebee). Its description in RNAcentral is "misc RNA ENSBTSG00005036155.1". The record is from RNAcentral. Lineage: Eukaryota; Metazoa; Arthropoda; Insecta; Hymenoptera; Apidae.